Molecule: long non-coding RNA, 344 nt
Organism: Impatiens glandulifera
Lineage: Eukaryota; Viridiplantae; Streptophyta; Magnoliopsida; Ericales; Balsaminaceae
Exons: 3
Source: RefSeq, a predicted model, not a curated record
UUCAAUCCCUAUGUACUGGAAAUCCGUAGUCAAGAAGACUCUCGACAAUGCCUGCACAGGCAAACUCUGUCGUUUGAACAGGCAAGUCUCUCAUAUGAAUGAUCUUAAUUUGUAAAUCUUCAGGUUUUGAUCUUAACUCUGUGAAGCCUCAUGAGUUUGUACUCAUUAUGAAUUGUGGUUGCAGGAGGUAAUAGUGCAGUAGGUUGGGUUUUGGGACUUCUCGGUACAGGCAAUGACCUUUCAAGAACUUUCGGUUGGGGUGGUUCAAUCCUUAUUUAUUGGAAUUUCGUAGUCAAGAAGACUCUCGACAAUGCCUGCACAGGCAAACUCUGUCGUUUGAACAG